This is a long non-coding RNA of Orbicella faveolata, 546 nucleotides long. NCBI's taxonomy places the organism in Eukaryota, Metazoa, Cnidaria, Anthozoa, Scleractinia, Merulinidae. The record is from RefSeq and is a predicted model, not a curated record.
CUUUGCAAAAUAAAGACACGCAGCCGCCAUCUUGCGCCGAGAAGCCGGUGAAAAUAUAAGCUUGGAUUUCGAGAAGACUCAAGGGCAAGAAUGAGUAUCGGUAGAACAGUAUACAACGCUUUGUUCCGUCGAACCUCCACAUUCGCAGUUACUAUUGUUAUUGGGGCGUUUGCAUUCGAGAGAGUGUUUGAUGAAGGAAUGGAUAACUUAUGGGAAAGAAUGAACCGAGGGAAAUUGUGGAAACACAUAAAGCACAGAUAUGUCAAGGAUGCAGAAGAUGCUGAUGAAUAACACUGAGAAGGAACAUGCUUUAGUUAAAGAAUUUUGCUUGGUCUUGUAAACUUUUCAAGAAUAAUGUCUGGGAGUUUUGUGAAUACUUGAGGAUGCAUCUAACUUUUUAUUGUAAAUCUAAACAAGCUUAUACUCUAUGUUCUCUCUUGUGAUGGUUGGAUUGAACUGUGCAUGGACUCAAUGUUGUAAAAAGAUGAUAAACUUUUUGUUACCUUCACUAAGAAAAUAAAAUAAUUAAAGAUUAUAAUUGUUUUC